AUUCCAGCUCCAAUAGCGUAUAUUUAAGUUGUUGCAGUUAAAAAGCUCGUAGUUGGAUUUUGGGUCGGGGGCACCGGUCCGCCGUUCCGGUGUGCACUGGUGGCCCCCUCCUUUCUGCCGGGGACGUGCGUCGCACUUAAUUGGGUGGCGUUCGGAGUCGGCGUUGUUACUUUGAAAAAAUUAGAGUGUUCAAAGCAAGCCAUCGCUCUGAAUACAUUAGCAUGGAAUAACAUGAUAGGACUCCGGUCUUAUUUUGUUGGUUUCCGAGACUGGAGUAAUGAUUAAGAGGGACAGUCGGGGGCAUCCGUAUUUCAUUGUCAGAGGUGAAAUUCUUGGAUUUAUGAAAGACGAACUUCUGCGAAAGCAUUUGCCAAGGAUGUUUUCAUUA
Molecule: ribosomal RNA, 388 nt
Filed under: Prasinoderma sp.
Lineage: Eukaryota; Viridiplantae; Prasinodermophyta; Prasinodermophyceae; Prasinodermales; Prasinodermaceae
Description: partial small subunit ribosomal RNA
Rfam family: Eukaryotic small subunit ribosomal RNA
Source: RNAcentral